CCAAUUGCUUUAUCAACAGGAAGACCUGUCAACUCAGCAAUUUUUGUGUUCCACCCAUUAACAAGUCCAUCAACAUCCACUGCCAAAAUUGGCACUGUAGCAGUUUCAAUUAAACGAACCAUCUCACUAGUUACUGCUUCCAGUUCUUGUAUCCCUUCAAUUUUUAGAUCAUUGAGCCUCGAAUGAAUUGUUUUGGUAUCCAUAUCCAUUGUUUCAGUUUCCUUGAAAGUAUUCCUCAG
This 239-nucleotide unclassified non-coding RNA is filed under the name Hevea brasiliensis (rubber tree). Lineage: Eukaryota; Viridiplantae; Streptophyta; Magnoliopsida; Malpighiales; Euphorbiaceae. The record is from RNAcentral.